AUUGAACGCUGGCGGCAGGCCUAACACAUGCAAGUCGAACGAGUGGCGGACGGGUGAGUAAUGUCUGGGAAACUGCCCGAUGGAGGGGGAUAACUACUGGAAACGGUAGCUAAUACCGCAUACCAUCGGAUGUGCCCAGAUGGGUUUAGCUAGUAGGUGGGGUAACGGCUCACCUAGGCGACGAUCCCUAGCUGGUCUGAGAGGAUGACCAGCCACACUGGAACUGAGACACGGUCCAGACUCCUACGGGAGGCAGCAGUGGGGAAUUUUGGACAAUGGAGGAAACGCUGGUCCAGCCAUCCCGCGUGUGCGAUGAAGGCCUUCGGGUUGUAAAGAACUUUUGGCAGGAAAGCGGUACCUGCAGAAUAAGCACCGGCUAACUACGUGCCAGCAGCCGCGGUAAUUC
This 406-nucleotide ribosomal RNA is filed under the name uncultured bacterium. RNAcentral's name for it is "partial 16S ribosomal RNA". It matches the Rfam family "Bacterial small subunit ribosomal RNA", at positions 30 to 526 of the family's 1533-position model. The record is from RNAcentral.